Molecule: ribosomal RNA, 456 nt
Filed under: uncultured microorganism
Description: bacterial SSU rRNA
Rfam family: Bacterial small subunit ribosomal RNA
Source: RNAcentral
GCGCAGCAGUCGCGAAUCUUCGGCAAUGGGCGCAAGCCUGACCGAGCGACGCCGCGUGCGGGAUGAAGGCCUUCGGGUUGUAAACCGCUGUCAGAGGGGAUGAAAUGCCGGGGAGCAAUCUUCCCGGUUUGACAUAUCCUCAGAGGAAGUACGGGCUAAGUUCGUGCCAGCAGCCGCGGUAAGACGAACCGUACAAACGUUAUUCGGAAUCACUGGGCUUAAAGGGUGCGUAGGCGGCCCGGUAAGUUGGGUGUGAAAUCCCCUCGGCUCAACCGAGGAAUUGCGUCCAAAACUGUCGAGCUUGAGGGAGACAGAGGUGAGCGGAACUCAGGGUGGAGCGAUGAUAUGCGUUGAUAUCCUGGGGGAACACCAGUAGCGAAAGCGGCUCACUGGGGUCUCUUCUGACGCUGAGGCACGAAAGCCAGGGUAGCGAACGGGAUUAGAUACCCGUGUAGU